Molecule: small nucleolar RNA, 234 nt
Organism: Myripristis murdjan (pinecone soldierfish)
Lineage: Eukaryota; Metazoa; Chordata; Actinopteri; Holocentriformes; Holocentridae
Gene: SNORA53
Product: small nucleolar RNA SNORA53
Source: Ensembl
AACACGCUCCUUAGAUCCACCUCUGGAGGGCGCUCUUGCUCUGGGCUGUGGUCUCUGUGAGCGGCAGCCCAGCAGCAGAGCUCCUCAGCAGCUUGCUGGCUGUACAGUUGGAGGUGCUUGAGUCAUUGGCGUGUGAGAGCAGUCUACCUGCCGCCCAGCCCACCUGCAGCAGUGGCACCUCGGCCCUCCACAGGCAGGGAGCUCCCACUGCUGCGAGGCUGGGGAGCGGACACU